GACAGAGGAGCCAAGCGUUGUCCGGACUGACUGGGCGUAAAGCGCACGCAGGCGGACGCGCGCGUGGGGUGUGAAAUCUGGCCGCUUAACGGCCAGGCGCCAUCCCAUACGGCGCGUCUGGAGUGAUGCAGAGGUCGAUGGAAUUGCCGGUGUAGUGGUGAAAUGCGUAGAGAUCGGCAGGAACACCCAGGGGGAAACCAGUCGACUGGGCAUCUACUGACGCUGAGGUGCGAGAGCGUGGGGAGCGAACCGG
This 253-nucleotide ribosomal RNA is filed under the name uncultured bacterium. Its description in RNAcentral is "partial 16S ribosomal RNA". It matches the Rfam family "Bacterial small subunit ribosomal RNA", at positions 524 to 776 of the family's 1533-position model. The record is from RNAcentral.